Molecule: long non-coding RNA, 2519 nt
Filed under: Homo sapiens (human)
Lineage: Eukaryota; Metazoa; Chordata; Mammalia; Primates; Hominidae
Description: HSALNT0346657
Source: RNAcentral
UUUUGGAUGCACAACAGCUGAAGAUUGUGCCUGGAUUCCCCUUUGCAAGCAUUCUGGAGUCACAACAUCGGCAUAGAAGGUGGCCAGCCUUCGGCUUUUGCAGUCGUUUGUGGAGUCUUUAUGGAAGAGCAGCGUGGUCAAGAGACCACGGCUGCGUAACCCCGUCUGCAGUAUGUGAGGCCGGAGUGCUGACCCUGGACCUGCCCAGUCAUGCCUUCUCGGUCAGCUGUUCAUCUCAUCUGCUACCACGGGAAAAGAAAUGCCCUGAAGACUGCUGGCCGUGUGUUCAGUGAUUCUCACAGAGCACAGAAAAUGAAACAUCAGAGAAACUGCCCUUAGGCGGGGCUGGCAAAUAUCUCCCCUACUGGGCGCAGGGCAGACUUCACCUCAAGGUCUUCCUCCACACACAUUCCACAGCCCAGCCAGUCCUCCAGGGCGGAACUCAAGAUAAAUCUAUUCACCAUCUCUGUUCUCUUGGGAGUGGGGGAGGAUACGAAGCUGAGGUCUAGCAUCCGGGCCAGGGCUUUCUCGGCCACGGCUCCUGGCCUGGGUGAUGGUGGGAGGGAGGAAUGUGAUGAUCAACACUCCAGUUUCUUGUCCAAGGCUGCCUGUGGCCGAUGUGCUGCCUAUUUGGGGAGAAAAGAGAAACACGUAGGCUUGUCUCGGGUGUUCCUAGAGGAUGUGGGAUGGCCACCCAUGGCAGAAAACUAACUUGGUUCACUAGAGUGUGUGACAUCGGGACCUGAGAUCCAACUUACCAAGUGCUAUCUACGUGACUUCACCCCUCAGUGUAUUCAUCUAUGAAAUGGGGAUAAUACUAGCACUGGAGGAUAAAUAAAUCGAUCAACAUGUGUAAAGUGCUUAGAAGGUGCCUGCCAUGCAGGAAGCAAGCACUGGGCACUAGCUAUCGCUAUCAUUUCUGCUGUCCUCGAUGAGUGCAACUAGUUGCUGAGCUGGGGUAGCUGAAAGUGACUGGUAGUAGAGGGGGUGAGAACAGGUAAAAGGCCACGACGCAGAGAAGCCAGAGGCCAUGCAGGUUGAACUCCAACAGGAGCAGUGGCUGUAGGGGAGAGGCUUGACCCUGGAGCUGGUCAUGAUGUGCAGGUGGGAUGGGCUGGGGGCUCCCGUGUGAGAGCACAGGAGGAGAGGCUGUGUUUCCCAAGCCUGCAAAGGGCUAGAGUGAAAAGAGACCUAGGUAUGACUAACAAGGCCUGGCAACUUGGCGUUCUCCACAUAUGUAAUUCUUCCUAUCAAAGCAGGUUCCCAAACCCUGGUUUCUUCCUGCCUCUCAGCUUAACAUUAUCAUUGCUCCUUCAUCCAUCAGAGAGCCCGGAGUCUCAUCUUUCAGUGACUUAUCAAGGCUAGACUAUUCCUCAGAAUCUCCACUGUGAAUCAGAAUACUGUUAAGAUAAACGUUAAUGCUUAAGUCAAAAAUAUUGGACUCAAAGAAGGAGUCAACAUGGUAAGAGGCCCUUCUGGCGCAUCAUCCCAGAAACUUCGUCUGACACCCUCCACCACGGGUCCUCCACACGGGAGGGGAUGCCUGGACAGUUGUGCACACAGAAACAACAUUUGUUCUCACUGGUUUGCUCUGCAGUCCCAGAAGCCCACCAAACAGAGUGGGAAAAAAAGACAUCUUGGGGCAAAAGACAAAGUGUGAUUCGAUACACUGAUCUCAUGUAAGCAUAGUUCUAAUUAGCUAAAUCAUUCCUUCAGCAAUAGUAAAGAGAGACUGCAACAGAUCUGAUACUCCAAUAGGCUUUGUCCAAUCUGGCAGAGUGGAUUCUUUAUCUGAAAUCAUCCACAACAACCACUUUCAGAAUGGGGCCAAUUUUCAGACCUAAAUUACCUCUGGCUCCACAGUAGCAUCUGCCCAUGAAAUCAGUUUCUACCAAAAGCUUAAACUCUCCAGCAGCAAUUAUCUGGAACAGCCUCAAAACUGCAUUUUUGCCAUUUGAGACUGUUUUCCACAAUUGCCAGCCAUCUUGCCUGUUAGCAUGCCUGUGGGAAGGACGGGCUGGUACUUACGGCAUUGAUUCCCUAUUUGAAGUUGUUGUCCUUGAAUCCUUUAUGACCAUCAGACAUAACACCCAGUGAAAAUGACGCCACCUGCAUUUAGAAUUAUUCAAAACCUGCCACCUCACAGAGGAAAAUUCAGCCCACCCUCAGGGAUGCAGGUCUUGACUCUGUUCUGGCUGAACUGUUAACAAUUCUCCUUUGCAAACUCCCAGAAGGAGACUUGAUGAUCUCUCCCACAUAGCACUUAAUGGGGAAGCAAAAACGAUUUUCAACUGAGGGAAUGUUUUUGCAAAGUGGAAAUCAAAUCCAUUUGUUAAUCUUCAAAAACUCUGGGCUGUGCAGAUUCUCAGGAAGACACUAAGCAUAUGGAUCACAACAGCGAUGGACCCUCAGCAAAUGGAGCCUGACAACUCCAGAACCAAGCACUUGCCUGGGGGAACCCCUCCCAGCAAACACUUCUCAAAUGGCAAACCUGGGUCCUGUUAGCUAUGCUGGCUGUG